UACGAAGGGGGCUAGCGUCGUUCGGAUUUACUGGGCGUAAAGCGCACGUAGGCGGGCUAAUAAGUCAGGGGUGAAAUCCCGGGGCUCAACCCCGGAACUGCCUUUGAUACUGUUAGUCUUGAGUAUGGUAGAGGUGAGUGGAAUUCCGAGUGUAGAGGUGAAAUUCGUAGAUAUUCGGAGGAACACCAGUGGCGAAGGCGGCUCACUGGACCAUUACUGACGCUGAGGUGCGAAAGCGUGGGGAGCAAACAGG
Molecule: ribosomal RNA, 253 nt
Filed under: uncultured bacterium
Lineage: Bacteria
Description: partial 16S ribosomal RNA
Rfam family: Bacterial small subunit ribosomal RNA
Source: RNAcentral